AAGUCGUAACAAGGUUUCCGUAGGUGAACCUGCGGAAGGAUCAUUAUUGAAUACGAUUGGUACUGAUGCUGGCUCUUCACUGAGCAUGUGCUCGUGCCGUCUAUUUAUCUUCUCUUGUGCACAUCUUGUAGCUUUGGAUUCGAAUAUGCGCAGUCUAACUGCGGUUUGAGAGCUGAGCUUAACCCGCUCUUCUCUUGUCAGUCCAAGGCUAUGUUUUCAUAUACACUAUAAAGUUACAGAAUGUCUUUUAACGAUUGCGCUUGUCGUAGUCAUUAAACCUAUACAACUUUCAGCAACGGAUCUCUUGGCUCUC
Molecule: unclassified non-coding RNA, 313 nt
Filed under: air metagenome
Description: partial contains small subunit ribosomal RNA, internal transcribed spacer 1, and 5.8S ribosomal RNA
Rfam family: Eukaryotic small subunit ribosomal RNA (bases 1-46)
Source: RNAcentral